AUUACUCUCUAGCUAGCUGUACGUUGUUUAAAUAGAUAAACAGAUCUUUAUGAUGCAAUGAACUCUGGUCAAAGCGCAUGCAGUGCAAUUUUUACAUUGAUUUGCCAGUAAAGUGAAUUUUCCGGAGCAGUCCAAUCGUCACGUCACGGUAAGUAAAUUAAUUAGUAAAUUCCUCAUGGCUUAUGCGCAACUGGUCUAUUGCACUCAACCCUCGGGGCUUACGCCCUCAUGCUUUAGUGCAAUUUAUAUACACCAUACAUCCCUCGUGCCCGUGCUAUAACUAUAACUUACCGACACACCCAAUGUAGUGGGGUAUAUCCGUUAUCGUCAGUACACUCAACAAUGCAAUUUUUAUCUUCCAUGAGGUAUUUCACCACAUUCACACUUCCACCCCUGUGCAUAGGAUAAAGAAUAGAUGGGCCUGGUGGUUGCGCAUGCACUAACUGUUAGCCGGAUACCAGCUAACACAGGAUAACAACGUUAUAUCCGGCAUAUGCAGCAUAGUGCACUAACCACAAAAUGCCCCACUGGGACUCUUAGUGCUGUGCUGAGCCUACUGUGCAUCAUAUAGAAGCGUUGUGUAUCUUACCAAAAGCUUGAAAGCUUUUAAAGGCAGUUUUUUGAGUGUUGUAUUAUCAUUUCGGCUCUAUCUAGUGGCUUUGUGUACCUUCUACAAGGAGAGGCUGUGACUGCAGCCCAACAUAUUAAUGAUUCCCUCUUUCUUAAGUAUAGCUGGGCAUUGUAUGCAAGUAAAAUC
Halichondria panicea is the source of this 757-nucleotide long non-coding RNA. RefSeq lists it as uncharacterized. Lineage: Eukaryota; Metazoa; Porifera; Demospongiae; Suberitida; Halichondriidae. The record is from RefSeq and is a predicted model, not a curated record. The transcript has 3 exons.